UUAAAGGUGCUGUUGAGUGAACCAGAGUGAAGUUUCCAGUUUCUAUAGCUCACACGCUGAAGAACCAUUUUGGAGAUUACAACUGGACUUAAUCCGUAAGAUGUCUUUAAAGCAAAGGCUGCUGUCCUUGUUGUUGUGCUGUGCUUACGCCGUGACCUCAUUCUUCUGCCUCCACCCACAACGCAGCAACCGUUUCCCUGUCCGAACUCGAAAUCUGGCUUCAGUUGUCCAACAGAUUUGCCAGCGUGUCGUCCGGCUGCUGCUCAGCACUCUGUGAUCCACAGCGCCCGCAGUCUUACCUGGACUGGACAAGGCCGGUCCUGUUCCUGUGCUCACUGCAGAUGCUGCUAACAUAUCCACCAACAGCACAUCACCAAAUCACAGAUUAACCAGAA
This is a long non-coding RNA of Thalassophryne amazonica, 395 nucleotides long. RefSeq lists it as uncharacterized. NCBI's taxonomy places the organism in Eukaryota, Metazoa, Chordata, Actinopteri, Batrachoidiformes, Batrachoididae. The transcript has 3 exons. The record is from RefSeq and is a predicted model, not a curated record.